Molecule: transfer RNA, 63 nt
Filed under: Geocalamus acutus
Lineage: Eukaryota; Metazoa; Chordata; Lepidosauria; Squamata; Amphisbaenidae
Description: tRNA-Val
Rfam family: tRNA
About the family: Transfer RNA (tRNA) molecules are approximately 80 nucleotides in length. Their secondary structure includes four short double-helical elements and three loops (D, anti-codon, and T loops). Further hydrogen bonds mediate the characteristic L-shaped molecular structure. tRNAs have two regions of fundamental functional importance: the anti-codon, which is responsible for specific mRNA codon recognition, and the 3' end, to which the tRNAs corresponding amino acid is attached (by aminoacyl-tRNA synthetases). tRNAs cope with the degeneracy of the genetic code in two manners: having more than one tRNA (with a specific anti-codon) for a particular amino acid; and 'wobble' base-pairing, i.e. permitting non-standard base-pairing at the 3rd anti-codon position.
Source: RNAcentral
CAAAAAGUAGCUUAAAAAGCAUUCAGCUUACAAUUGAAAGAUGUCUUCACCAGACCUUUUUGA